Molecule: ribosomal RNA, 483 nt
Filed under: uncultured bacterium
Lineage: Bacteria
Description: bacterial SSU rRNA
Rfam family: Bacterial small subunit ribosomal RNA
Source: RNAcentral
GACGAACGCUGGCGGCGUGCUUAACACAUGCAAGUCGAACGAUGAACCGGAGCUUGCUCUGGGGAUUAGUGGCGAACGGGUGAGUAACACGUGGGCAACCUGCCCCAGACACCGGGAUAACCAUUGGAAACGAUGGCUAAUACCGGAUACGACCACUUCGGGCAUCCGAUGGUGGUGGAAAGGAUUCUGGUCUGGGAUGGGCCCGCGGCCUAUCAGCUUGUUGGUGGGGUAAUGGCCUACCAAGGCGACGACGGGUAGCCGGCCUGAGAGGGCGACCGGCCACACUGGGACUGAGACACGGCCCAGACUCCUACGGGAGGCAGCAGUGGGGAAUAUUGCGCAAUGGGCGAAAGCCUGACGCAGCGACGCCGCGUGAGGGACGAAGGUCUUCGGAUUGUAAACCUCUUUCAGCAGGGAUGAAGCGAAAGUGACAGUACCUGCAGAAGAAGCACCGGCUAACUACGUGCCAGCAGCCGCGGUAAU